This 518-nucleotide ribosomal RNA is filed under the name Junonia almana (peacock pansy). RNAcentral's name for it is "partial 16S ribosomal RNA". The stretch from base 386 to 518 matches the Rfam family "Bacterial large subunit ribosomal RNA", at positions 2473 to 2606 of the family's 2925-position model. The record is from RNAcentral. Lineage: Eukaryota; Metazoa; Arthropoda; Insecta; Lepidoptera; Nymphalidae.
CUUUUUGAUAAUAAUUUAAAGUCUAAUCUGCCCACUGAUAGAAUAUUAAAGGGCUGCAGUAUAUUGACUGUACAAAGGUAGCAUAAUCAUUAGUCUUUUAAUUGAAGACUUGUAUGAAAGAUUUGAUGAAAUAUAAACUGUCUCUAAUUUAUGUUUAGAAAUUAAUUUUUUAGUUAAAAAGCUAAAAUAAAGUUAAAAGACGAGAAGACCCUAUAGAGUUUUAUAUUUUGAUUAAUUAUUAUUAAAUAUAUAAUUAAAUAUAAUAAUUAAUUAAAAUAUUUUGUUGGGGUGAUAGAAAAAUUUAAUAAACUUUUUUUAAAAUUUGAACAUAAAUAAGUGAAUAAUUGAUCCAUUAAUAAUGAUUAAAAGAAAAAAUUACCUUAGGGAUAACAGCGUAAUAUUUUUUUUUAGUACAAAUAAAAAAAAAAGUUUGCGACCUCGAUGUUGGAUUAAGAUAAAAUUUAAAUGCAAAAGUUUAAAAUUUUGAUCUGUUCGAUCAUUAAAAUCUUACAUGAUCU